Molecule: ribosomal RNA, 449 nt
Filed under: uncultured bacterium
Lineage: Bacteria
Description: partial 16S ribosomal RNA
Rfam family: Bacterial small subunit ribosomal RNA
Source: RNAcentral
AACGAACGCUGGCGGCAUGCCUAACACAUGCAAGUCGAACGAGACCUUCGGGUCUAGUGGCGCACGGGUGCGUAACGCGUGGGAACCUGCCUUUAGGUCCGGAAUAACUCAGAGAAAUUUGAGCUAAUACCGGAUAAUGUCUUCGGACCAAAGAUUUAUCGCCUUUAGAUGGGCCCGCGUUGGAUUAGCUAGUUGGUGGGGUAAAGGCCUACCAAGGCGACGAUCCAUAGCUGGUCUGAGAGGAUGAUCAGCCACACUGGGACUGAGACACGGCCCAGACUCCUACGGGAGGCAGCAGUGGGGAAUAUUGGACAAUGGGCGAAAGCCUGAUCCAGCAAUGCCGCGUGAGUGAUGAAGGCCUUAGGGUUGUAAAGCUCUUUUACCCGAGAUGAUAAUGACAGUAUCGGGGGAAUAAGCACCGGCUAACUCCGUGCCAGCCGCCGCAGUAA